GUGAGGGGGGGAGGUUGAGGGGGAGGGGGGGACAUAAAGAAGCACACUGAACCAGGAAGGAGCUGCAUUUGAUCUGGGCUCCUUCACCCACUGAGACACACUGUCAGACCAUGUGAGAACUUACUUUAAUUGUACUGUCUUCAUUUACCAGGACUUCAGUAAAUUGUUUGCACAGAUUAAUCGAAGGUAAUUCUGUCCCUACUCGCCUGUAUACAGACAAUGCCUUGCUUUAUUUAAUGUACAUAUGUGUAGGGGAGGAGGGGGGGAGUACAUGUAUGUUCUUAAUGAGUUUUCCAUGUCAUACACAUAGCACAUUUAUGAGUUAUGGACUUGAGGUUUCAGCAAGCUGUGAAUAAUGUCCCAUCCACUGUGAAGAUGGGCUCUGGUGAGGAGCGUGGAAGUGAUGCUGCAGAACGGGGGGUGUUCCAAAUAAGAUGGCUCUGUUCGCAUACGACCUUUUCUAAUAAUGUAGGAGACAAUCGUGUCAGUUAAGUAUAUAUGCAAGUUGUACAAAUUGUGAAUAACAAACUAUUUUUGCUGUUGUUGAA
Osmerus eperlanus (European smelt) is the source of this 548-nucleotide long non-coding RNA. RefSeq lists it as uncharacterized. The transcript is spliced from 2 exons. Lineage: Eukaryota; Metazoa; Chordata; Actinopteri; Osmeriformes; Osmeridae. The record is from RefSeq and is a predicted model, not a curated record.